Molecule: non-coding RNA, 648 nt
Organism: Cricetulus griseus (Chinese hamster)
Lineage: Eukaryota; Metazoa; Chordata; Mammalia; Rodentia; Cricetidae
Source: the annotation of a RefSeq genome assembly
AUGAGAGGAAAGGAGGAGCUGACCCCUGCUCUCACCAAGGAGAGCAGCAUCCCAAGUAGAAGGAUAAGUGGCUCUGCCUGGGGCCCCACCCUGCUCUGCUGUGUCACUGUCUCUCUCCUGGCAACAGGUGCAGCAAAUCUCGGGGUCAUCCAGACUCCAAGACACCUAAUCAAAGCACAGGGAGGAAGGUCCAUUCUGAAGUGCAUUCCGAUGUCUGGACAUAACAAUGUGGCCUGGUACCAACAGCCUCUGGGGCAAGGACUGAAGUUCCUCAUUCAGCAUUUUGAAAAAAUGGAGGGAGAGAAAGGAGACAUGCCCAACCGAUUCUCAGUCCAGCAGUUCAGUGACUAUCACUCUGAGAUGAACAUGAGCGCCUUGCAGCUGGAGGACUCUGCUGUGUACUUCUGCACCAGCUCACCACAGCCUCACAGAGAGACUGGCUUUCUGUCCCUUUAUCAUCCUGUCCCAGCUGGUGCUGUAAUAGAGAGGGGUGGGAACAUGCUGCACAGCUCCUGUAGAGGACAAGAAUGCAUCAGUUCUGUAUUAGCCCCUUCUGCCUGCCUGAGCUCCCAGAGAGCCCUAAACACUGGGGUGGACGCCAAGACUCCUGAUGUUUUCACAUGUCUGCCAGUACCUUCCAGGUCCUAG